UAUCAAUAAGCGGAGGAAAAGAAACCAACAGGGAUUGCCUCAGUAACGGCGAGUGAAGCGGCAACAGCUCAAAUUUGAAAUCUGGCCCCCCCGGGGGGGCCCGAGUUGUAAUUUGCAGAUUGUGCUUUUGGCGAGGCGCCUUCCGAGUUCCCUGGAACGGGACGCCACAGAGGGUGAGAGCCCCGUCUGGUCGGCCGCCGAGCCUCUGUAAAGCACCUUCGACGAGUCGAGUAGUUUGGGAAUGCUGCUCAAAAUGGGAGGUAUAUGUCUUCUAAAGCUAAAUACCGGCCAGAGACCGAUAGCGCACAAGUAGAGUGAUCGAAAGAUGAAAAGCACCUUGAAAAGGGGGUUAAACAGUACGUGAAAUUGUUGAAAGGGAAGCGCUCGCGACCAGACUUGGGCCCGGCGGAUCACCCAGCGUUCUCGCUGGGGCACUCCGCCUCGUCCCAGGCCAGCAUCGGUUCGCGCCGGGGGACAAAGGCGGCGGGAACGUGGCUCCCCCGGGAGUGUUAUAGCCCGCCGCGGAAUGCCCUGGGGCGGACCGAGGACCCGCGCAUCUGCAAGGAUGCUGGCGUAAUGGUCACCAGCGACCCGUCUUGAAACACGGACCAAGGAGUCGUCUUCGUAUGCGAGUGUUCGGGUGUCAAACCCCUACGCGUAAUGAAAGUGAACGCAGGUGAGAGCUUCGGCGCAUCAUCGACCGAUCCUGAUGUUCUCGGAUGGAUUUGAGUAGGAGCAUACGGGGCCGGACCCGAAAGAAGGUGAACUAUGCCUGUGUAGGGUGAAGCCAGAGGAAACUCUGGUGGAGGCUCGCAGCGGUUCUGACGUGCAAAUCGAUCGUCAAACAUGGGCAUGGGGGCGAAAGACUAAUCGAACCUUCUAGUA
RNAcentral lists this ribosomal RNA (885 nucleotides) under Aschersonia confluens. RNAcentral describes it as "eukaryotic LSU rRNA". It matches the Rfam family "Eukaryotic large subunit ribosomal RNA", at positions 41 to 949 of the family's 3401-position model. The record is from RNAcentral. Lineage: Eukaryota; Fungi; Ascomycota; Sordariomycetes; Hypocreales; Clavicipitaceae.